RNAcentral lists this long non-coding RNA (3625 nucleotides) under Lupinus angustifolius (narrow-leaved blue lupine). RNAcentral describes it as "long non-coding RNA (LANG_LNC002438)". Lineage: Eukaryota; Viridiplantae; Streptophyta; Magnoliopsida; Fabales; Fabaceae. The record is from RNAcentral.
CCCAUUUUAAGCCGUGUAUGGACGUAUUCCACCCACACUUCAAAGUCAACCAUUCCUUCUCCAGCAUCAAAUAGCCUGCAAUCCAGAGCGUCAUUGUUAUCUACUCUUAAAUAGAAUCUCAAACACGCUCAACAAAGAAUGGUUGCUCAAACACAAACUGGGAGGAAAGACAUUACCUUUGAACCAGGAGAUUGGGUUUUGCUGAAGUUACAACCAUAUCGGCAAGUCACUGUGGCUCGUCGUCUCUGUCACAAACAAAGCCCACGGUAUUUCGGACCAUACAAGGUGGCUCGACGAAUUGGAGCCAUGACUUAUAAGCUCUUAUUACCCUCCGCCACACGAAUACACCCUGUAUUCCAUGUGUCUCUCAUACGAUGGUUCUAUGGUGAUCCUGUAGCAAAGUUUGUUCCACGCCCAACAAGCACAUAAAUAGUGGAAGGAAUAACAGAGGUCCAAAGGGAACAUCACAUCCCAGAAAUUAUAGAGGAGACUGAACAUAGGAAAUUUUCAAAUGAACAGGAGGACAAAACCUCUUUGGAGAAGAAAGAUAAAAACCUAUCUACAACUCUUAACUCAACUCUUAAGUCCCCUAUGACCAUAUCUUAUUUUGAGAGCAGGGCAGCUGGGAAAAUUACCGGGCAUCCAUUGGAUCCCAUGUGUAGGAGGGAAUUAUCAUCCAACGGCUCCAAAAUAAAGUCGUUUCCUAUCUUGAAAUCAUCUACCCUUACUGGGUCCACACAGGUCCAACAGUUGCUUUCUAGUCCACACACGGUUCCCAUGCAGAACCAGCCCCAACCUUCGGAUCUCUGCCCUUCUGCUGUAUUGUGGCCACGUGUUGACCAUCCUACACACAUUGUAUAUCUUCCAGCUCCCACACAGGUAUCGGGCCCUGCAACAGACCAAUAUGGGGAUGCCAACACAUUAUGCAAAGGACAACUUGUUCCUGCAAUAAAUCAGAACACUGUUGCACCACACAGAAAACUACUAGACGUUGAAGACCCACGUGCCCCAGGUCCUGGGAAAAAGUCAUCCCCUCAUUUAAUUCAAAAGCCCCGCCUUCCACAAAAAUCAUCCAUUUUCUUAAAAAAUCUCACAAUGCAACACAACUGUAAUACACCAAGCAACCCUACAAUUAUUGACCAGCCAUCCCCCACAGUCCUUGAUUCUACAACUAUCCAAAAGGGUUCCCAUGAAGCAUGCCUUAUUCCAACAUAUCCAACCCAAACUCCCAACCUUGAGGACAAGGUUAUUCCUGUUGGGGUGAGCAAUAAUAGGACCAAAAAUGACAAAAAUAGGCCCAAAUGAAAUUAUUCCAAACCCACCUGGCAGAAGGAUUACAUGAUGGGAUAAUAUAGUUGUUAGAAUACAACCUGUCACUAUACUAGAUCUGACCAGUUUUAUGGUCUAGAUUAAUUUGGUUUAGAUAUUUUAUCCUUCCUUGUUUUUAAGAUGUAAUGAAUGGAGAGACUGGGGAGACGAAAAGUAAUGAAUUAAGUUGUUAUCAAAACUUCCCUCAUUUUUUAUAGAAUAUCUUUGCAACUAUAAUUUCUAUUUAGUUUAAGUCCUAUCAGUAAGCAAUAUGCAAAUGCAAAAGGGAGCAGGGCUAUAUGGAUUAAUUCAAGUGGUACCAAGUGAUCCUGAACCCUUUGCUUAUGACUUUGACAAGAGCAUUAUUCAGAAUGAUUGGUACUACCAGAGUACUCAUGAACAAGCCACUGGAUUGUCUUCAAAUCCUUUUGGUAUGGGUGAGGGACCAUAAUCAUGUGAUUAAUUCUGGAAAAGUGAAGACAAAGCCAAAAUAUCCUGUGUCAGAUACACAUUCUCAACAUAAAUGGCAAUAUUUAAAGAGAAACCAACCAUGAGCCACAAUUGAAGGAAUUUCAAAGGAGAGACUGAUUCAGCCAUGUAGGAAUUCCAAAGAAAUACAAACCAGGGGUCAGUCAUUUCAGUUAUAGUCACAAAUGCAAAACAUGAAUUAAUGUUUCAGUUACAAUCAGUAGUGAUGACCAGAAUAAUCAUGACAUGUUACACAUUUUGGGCAAACCAUCAGACCACCACAAUCAGCUAUAUAAGAACAGCCUACACAUACUAAAAGAGGGCAGAUAUCAAGUGCACGCAAAAACAUAUACCACAUAGAGAGACAAGCUUAUCACAGAAAGGGAUACCACUCAUACACCUACAACUCUAAAAAGGGAUACAAGAUAGGGCAACCAGAGAGCAUAUAAUACACUGAAAGCAUAUAGAUAUGCACAUACAACACCCAUACCAUGAAGACAUGCAUAACACAGAUCAUAAGACACUCAUACCACACAACAUAGACACACCAUACGAGAAUCAGAAAGCAACAUCACACAAGGAACUCAUAUACCACAAAUCACACAUUCAACACAUAUACAGAGUAAAAAUCAGAUUACUCAGGAAAAUUAGAGAUAUCGACAUACUGAUCACGCAUAAUACAACAAAGAGCAUACACAGAUACACGCAUAUCACCACAUACAUAGAGGCAGAGCCUCUGUAUACAGAGAACCAACACUCAGAAGGACAAAGGAAGAGAGCAUACACUCAGGUAAGCAUUCAAACCAUAAAAAACAAUGUUUUAUAUGAGCCAUGACCAUCAAGGCAUACACACAUAUCAAAUAAACAUAUCAGCUUUUGUAUGGUCUAUGUACUAGACUUAUAUGCUUAAUUGAUAAAUGUUUCUAAUCGACCAUACACACUAGUUUCAACAGAACAUAUAUAUGCUUAAUUAAAAAUGAAAUAGAUGAAAACAAACAGUGCAUUGCCAUAACCUUAAGGCUAGAUAAUGUGAUUUAUGUCCAGUUUAGCUUUUAACCCAAAUCUAUUUUCACAUACAUAACACCAAUCAUUUCCUAGAAAUGCAUAUACAUAUACUAGAUUAGAACAUAAGUAAACCUUAAAAGCUUGGGAGAACAUGAUUGAAAUCUGUUUUUGUUUACAUGUCACCACCAAUUAGUACAUGCUCUAAGAUUAAGCAAAAUUUCAAUAGAAAAGGGAUACGAUGCCUUGCCAAACUCCGUUAUCACUACCGAUUUGGAACCCAUUGUCUUAGUUGGUCCAUGUGAGUAUGAGGGGCUGUGAAGAAUAAGAAGGGCAUAUCAAAAGAUGAAGAUUCAGGGUUAUGGAAAUAUGAUAUAAAAUUAGGGAAGAUGACUACCUUCUGGCAACCACCAUUUCGGGAUAAGGAAACUCAGUUCGUGGGGAGCCAUACCUUCGCCGAAGAAGAGCUUACCCACGGGAAAGAAAAUAAUGGAGAAAUAUUUCUCUUCAAUAUUCCCUCUUGAAGUAGGGAUGAAGAUUCCAUGCCAUGGGAGAUGCCUUCAAUCGAUAACCAUCGUGAUUCCCCAGGGAGAAUGCAAAAAAUGGAAUUAGGGAUCCCAAUCCCCCUCGUCACAAAGGCGAUGGAGAAGAGAAUGGGGACGUCGGCAUUGAGACAUCACCGUCACCAUUGACGGCAUUGCUCAUCGCCGUCGCUGCCUUUUGCUGUCGCCGUCGCUGCCUUUCGCUGUCGCCGUCGCUGCUGAAAUUGGUGAGGGAGUAGGAGAUGAGGGUUAGGGAUUCUUUCCCUGGUUAUGGUCGUGAAUUGGGGGUGUCCCCUUUGCAUUAU